Non-coding RNA from Ameiurus melas (black bullhead), 74 nucleotides. NCBI's taxonomy places the organism in Eukaryota, Metazoa, Chordata, Actinopteri, Siluriformes, Ictaluridae. The record is from the annotation of a GenBank genome assembly.
GCAGUGGUGUCUCAGUGGUUAAAGGCUCUGGGUUACUGAUCAGAACGUCAGGAGUUCAAGCCCCCGGCACUGCC